AUGAACGCUAGCUACAGGCUUAACACAUGCAAGUCGAGGGGAAACGACAUCGAAAGCUUGCUUUUGAUGGGCGUCGACCGGCGCACGGGUGAGUAACGCGUAUCCAACCUGCCCACCACUUGGGGAUAACCUUGCGAAAGUAAGACUAAUACCCAAUGAUAUCUCUAGAAGACAUCUGAAAGAGAUUAAAGAUUUAUCGGUGAUGGAUGGGGAUGCGUCUGAUUAGCUUGUUGGCGGGGUAACGGCCCACCAAGGCAACGAUCAGUAGGGGUUCUGAGAGGAAGGUCCCCCACAUUGGAACUGAGACACGGUCCAAACUCCUACGGGAGGCAGCAGUGAGGAAUAUUGGUCAAUGGACGAGAGUCUGAACCAGCCAAGUAGCGUGCAGGAUGACGGCCCUAUGGGUUGUAAACUGCUUUUAUAAGGGAAUAAAGUGAGUCUCGUGAGACUUUUUGCAUGUACCUUAUGAAUAAGGACCGGCUAAUUCCGUGCCAGCAGCCGCGGUAAUACGGAAGGUCCGGGCGUUAUCCGGAUUUAUUGGGUUUAAAGGGAGCGUAGGCCGGAGAUUAAGCGUGUUGUGAAAUGUAGACGCUCAACGUCUGCACUGCAGCGCGAACUGGUUUCCUUGAGUACGCACAAAGUGGGCGGAAUUCGUGGUGUAGCGGUGAAAUGCUUAGAUAUCACGAAGAACUCCGAUUGCGAAGGCAGCUCACUGGAGCGCAACUGACGCUGAAGCUCGAAAGUGCGGGUAUCGAACAGGAUUAGAUACCCUGGUAGUCCGCACGGUAAACGAUGGAUGCCCGCUGUUGGUCUGAAUAGGUCAGCGGCCAAGCGAAAGCAUUAAGCAUCCCACCUGGGGAGUACGCCGGCAACGGUGCAACUCA
This 884-nucleotide ribosomal RNA is filed under the name uncultured Bacteroidota bacterium. RNAcentral's name for it is "bacterial SSU rRNA". It matches the Rfam family "Bacterial small subunit ribosomal RNA", at positions 29 to 903 of the family's 1533-position model. Lineage: Bacteria; Pseudomonadati; Bacteroidota. The record is from RNAcentral.